This 112-nucleotide ribosomal RNA is filed under the name Chrysemys picta bellii (western painted turtle). The record is from RNAcentral. Lineage: Eukaryota; Metazoa; Chordata; Testudines; Emydidae.
GUUUGCAGCCUGCAUGACCUAUGCAGAUUCAGCAGAAUCUCCGGGAGCCCUACUGCACUGAAUGCUAGUACUUGGAUGGGAGACCACCUGGGCAUUCCCGAGGCUGCAGACA